This 406-nucleotide ribosomal RNA is filed under the name uncultured bacterium. RNAcentral describes it as "partial 16S ribosomal RNA". It matches the Rfam family "Bacterial small subunit ribosomal RNA", at positions 30 to 526 of the family's 1533-position model. The record is from RNAcentral.
AUUGAACGCUGGCGGCAGGCCUAACACAUGCAAGUCGAGCGAGCGGCGGACGGGUGAGUAAUGUCUGGGAAACUGCCUGAUGGAGGGGGAUAACUACUGGAAACGGUAGCUAAUACCGCAUACCAUCAGAUGUGCCCAGAUGGGAUUAGCUAGUAGGUUGGGUAACGGCUCACCUAGGCGACGAUCAGUAGCGGGUCUGAGAGGAUGAUCAGCCACACUGGGAAUGGGGAACGGGCCAGACUCCUACGGGAGGCAGCAGUGGGGAAUUUUGCACAAUGGGCGCAAGCCUGAUCAAGCCAUGCCGCGUGUAUGAAGAAGGCCUUCGGGUUGUAAAGGACUUUUGUCAGGGAAGCGGUACCUGAAGAAUAAGCACCGGCUAACUACGUGCCAGCAGCCGCGGUAAUUC